AAAAUUUGUUAUUAAUUUGAUUUAUAUGUAAAUUUUUGUGUGAAUUUGUAUUAAUUUUAAAAAUUUAUAUAAUUUUUAUAGUCGCAGUAAUUAAUUUUAUUAAUUAAAGAAAUUUAGAAAUAGCAAUAUUAAAUAGUAUAGAUUAAAUUGGUGCCAGCAAUCGCGGUUAUACUAAUUAUACAAAUGAAUUUUUUUAGUAAAAGUUAAAUUGGUAAAAAUUAAAAAUAAUUAAAUUUAUUAAGUGAAAUUUUAAAUUUAAAUUUUUUAUAAAUAAAUUAAUUGAAGCUUAAAAAUUUUAAUAAA
Molecule: ribosomal RNA, 303 nt
Filed under: Drosophila nigella
Lineage: Eukaryota; Metazoa; Arthropoda; Insecta; Diptera; Drosophilidae
Description: partial 12S ribosomal RNA
Source: RNAcentral